GGCUAAGUCUCUCCCUCUCUCUCCCUUUCACACCGAGCUGAGGGAGAAUUAACACUUCUCCCUACAAACCUCAUCGGAGAAUGGCGCCUUCAUCAGAGACAGAGUUUACUGAAACUCAGCAAGAGGCCAACCGGCUCACAGACAGAGGAGGAUGAACAGCCAAUCAGACACAUGGAUAAAUCAUCAAGAUCCUCCACCCCGCGCUCACCCCUGCAUCCCCUCCUCUGCAUCGGCCGAGAUAUGGGGCAGCUUGUGAUGCCCAUGCAGCCCCCCCAGCCCCCCACACCACCACCACCCCAACCCACCCAACCGACCCCUGCCUCUCAACAAAAAUAUUGACGGUUAAUUUGGCUUUGAUAUAUUAUUGCAUUAAACACAUCACAUCCACUAAAGGGGAUAAGAACAUCCCAUAGCGUAGAUGCACUUGAAUGAAUGUGUCUUUACGUUCAACCUGUGGAGGCUGGGAGCGAGGCUUCAGAGGGAGAGGGAGAGACGCAGAGACGGAUGAGCUUCACACCGCAUGCUCAAUAUUUCUGCUUAUUUGUUUUUAAAUAGCUGGGAGUGCCUUGGGGAAGGUUUUAAAAGAGCAAGUUGACGUUUUUUUCUUCCCACACAUUUUUAAUCAAAGUGUUAGCAUUUACAUUUGAAUUUGCAUCGUGCAGUGGGAUGCUGGAUGCCAUAGGUGAGAUAUUAAAAAAA
RNAcentral lists this long non-coding RNA (699 nucleotides) under Gadus morhua (Atlantic cod). Its description in RNAcentral is "lncRNA (ENSGMOG00000033869.1)". The record is from RNAcentral. Lineage: Eukaryota; Metazoa; Chordata; Actinopteri; Gadiformes; Gadidae.